UGUGUAGGCGGCUACGCAAGUCGGAUGUGAAAUCCCUGGGCUUAACCCAGGAAGUGCACCCGAUACUGCGCGGCUUGAGUACCGGAGAGGUUGGUGGAAUUCUCGGUGUAGAGGUGAAAUUCGUAGAUAUCGAGAGGAACACCGGUGGCGAAGGCGGCCAACUGGACGAGUACUGACGCUGAGACACGAAAGCGUGGGGAGCAAACAGGAUUAGAUACCCUGGUAGUCCACGCCGUAAACGAUGGGUGCUAGGUGUCACGGGCUUUGACUCCUGUGGUGCCGUAGCCAACGCAUUAAGCACCCCGCCUGGGAAGUACGGCCGCAAGGCUAAA
This 332-nucleotide ribosomal RNA is filed under the name uncultured bacterium. RNAcentral's name for it is "bacterial SSU rRNA". It matches the Rfam family "Bacterial small subunit ribosomal RNA", at positions 568 to 898 of the family's 1533-position model. The record is from RNAcentral.